GGCGGCGUAGCUCAGCUGGUUAGAGUGCACGGCUCAUACCCGUGAGGUCGAGGGUUCGAUCCCCCCCGCCGCUACCA
Molecule: transfer RNA, 77 nt
Filed under: Acholeplasmataceae bacterium
Lineage: Bacteria; Bacillati; Mycoplasmatota; Mollicutes; Acholeplasmatales; Acholeplasmataceae
Also listed under: 1 other name
Description: tRNA-Met
Rfam family: tRNA
About the family: Transfer RNA (tRNA) molecules are approximately 80 nucleotides in length. Their secondary structure includes four short double-helical elements and three loops (D, anti-codon, and T loops).
Source: RNAcentral